Molecule: non-coding RNA, 920 nt
Organism: Camelina sativa (false flax)
Lineage: Eukaryota; Viridiplantae; Streptophyta; Magnoliopsida; Brassicales; Brassicaceae
Source: RefSeq, a predicted model, not a curated record
AUAAGAGAGCCUCUUAUUUAGCAUACCCGUUUAUGGAAUAAGAGUCCAUACGUGUCACAUACUCGUUGGCCGAAGAAAAAAAUAGAAGUAGGAAAAAAAAAUUUAGGCGACGGAUCAAAUUUUUUCUUUUUUUUUUUUCCUAUCUCUCUCUUUUUCUCUCUCGAUCGAAGUCCAGAAUUGACAAAGGAAGGAGAAGGAAUCAAACGCUAUGGAAUCAGAGGAGAUUGGGAUAGGAGAUUGGGAUCGGAGGAGAUCUAAAGCGGAGGAGAUCUGAAGCGGAGGAGAUUUCUCUUCUUCUUCUUCUCUCAAAUCCGCGGUAGAAGAAGCAUGGCUACGAAGCAGAACGAAAGCCUAAUUCUCCAUUAUAUUUGUGGACAGCUUAUCCCAGUUCCCCCAUCCAUGUGGUCUCCAUAACCCUUUCAUAAACUCGAUUUUGCUUGUCUUAUUCUUGGUUUUAAAUAUGUUGGACAGAGAAAAGGGAGAAUCGCAGGGAAACUUCACUUCAGGUAAUAUUUAUCGUUGAGGGUCACUUUAGUCAUGCAACUAACGCUUAUCUUCUGUUUAGAGCUCUUCCUCUAGCAUGUGAAGUUAUAUGGUGAACUGACACCUUCAAGCAAAGCAGAUAUACAGGUUAUGGUUGAUGCUUUUAUCGAUGAGGGUGAUGUCUGGAGACAAGGACACGCUUCGCUUCUUCUCUGUGGUAACAUCUUCAAGGGUUCUGUUCUUCCUCUGAACUCUUCUUACUCUCUCAUUUUCCUAAUUACAUGUGAUUUACUUGUUUCUCUGUUCUUCCUCUUAACUCUUCUUUUACACUCCGUUUAUUUUUUUCUUUCUUAUGAAUUUGUUCAUGUGAUUUAGUUGUUACUCUGUUAUUCCCCUUUUUAUGAAUUGCAAUAAUACAAUUAAUCAUUUUCCUUUUU